UUGCUGUUGUUGGGGGAGGUGUUACAUCAUCAAUUGCAAAAGUUGUUGUUUGGGCAACAGCUGUUAUUGUUUGGACAGCAAUUGUUGUUGCUGUUGUUGUUGUUGUUUGGGCAACAGUUGUGGUUGUUUGGGCAACAGUUGUUGUUGUUGUGGUUUGGGCAACAGUUGUUGUUGUGGUUGGUUGGGCAACAGUUGUUGUUGUGGUUGUUUGGGCAACAGUUGUUGUUGUGGUUGUUUGGGCAACAGUUGUUGUUGUUGUUUGGGCAACAGUUGUUGUUGUUGUUGUUGCUUGGGCAACAGUUGUUGUUGUUGUGGUUGUUUGGGCAACAGUUGUUGUUGUUGUGGUUGUUUGGGCAACAGUUGUUGUUGUUGUUUGGGCAACAGUUGUUGUUGUUGUUGUUUGGGCAACAGUUGUUGUUGUUGUUGUUGUUGUUGUUGUUGUUGUUUGGGCAACAGUUGUUGUUGUGUGGGCAGCAGUUUUUGUUUGAACAGGACUCUGUUGGUCUUGGUUCACUUGUUGUUGGUUCAGCAGUCAUUGUUGUCAAUUCAGCAACUGUCGUUGUGGCUUCGGGUGUUGUUGUUGUAGGUUCAGCAGUUGUUGUUGAGGGUUCAGCAGGUGUUGUUGUGGGUUCAGCAAUUGUUGUUGUUGGUUCAGCAAUUGUCGUUGUGGGUUCAGCAAUUGUCGUUGUGGGUUCAACCGUUGUUGUGGCCUCAGCAGUUGUUGUUGUGGUUUCAGCUGUUGUUCUUGGUUCACUAGUUGUUGUUGAUUCAGCGGCCGUUGUCGAUUCAGCUGUUGUUGUUGUGGGUUCAGCUGUUGUUGCUGUAGUUUCAGCAGUUGUAAUUGUGGGUUCAGCUGUUGUUGUUGUGGGUUCAGCAGAUGUUGUUAUGGCUUCAGCGGUUGUUGUUGUGGCCUCAGCCGUGGUUGUUGUUGUGGCCUCAGCCGUGGUUGUUGUGAGUUCAGCAGUUGUUGUUGUGAGUUCAGCAGUUGUUGUUGUUGGCUCAGCUGUUGUGGCCUCAGCCGUGGUUGUUGGUUCACUAGUUGUUGUUGGUUUAGCGGUCGUUGUCGGUUCAGCCGUGGUUGUUGUGUGUUCAGCAGUUGUUGUUGUGGGUUCAGCAGUUGUUGUUUUGGGUUCAGCAGUUGUAAUUGUGGGUUCAGCAGUUGUCGUUGUGGGUUCAGCAGUAGUUGUUGUAGGUUCAGCUGUUGUUAUUUUGGGUUCAGCUGUUGUUUUUGUGGGUUCAGCAGUUGUUGUUGUGGGUUCAGCAGUUGUUGUUGUGGGUUCAGCAGUUGUUGUUGUGGGUUCAGCUGUUGUAGUUGGUUCAGUAGUUGUUGUGGGUUCAGCAGCUGUUGUUGUUGUGGGUUCAGCUGUUGUGGUUGGUUCAAUAGUUGUAGUUGGUUCAGUAGUUGUUGUGGGUUCAGCAGCUGUUGUUGUUGUGGGUUCAACUGUUGUCGUUGGUUCAAUAGUUGUUGUGGGUUCAGUUGUUGUUGUUGUGGGUUCAGCAGCUGUUGUUGUUGUGGGUUCAGCAGUUGUUGUUGGUUCAGUAGUUGUUGUGGGUUCAGAUGUUAUUGUCGUGGGUUCAGCAGCUGUUGUUGUUGUGGGUUCAGCCGUGGUUGUUGUGGGUUGA
Molecule: long non-coding RNA, 1623 nt
Filed under: Betta splendens (Siamese fighting fish)
Lineage: Eukaryota; Metazoa; Chordata; Actinopteri; Anabantiformes; Osphronemidae
Description: lncRNA (ENSBSLG00000006416.1)
Source: RNAcentral